RNAcentral lists this ribosomal RNA (434 nucleotides) under uncultured Lachnospiraceae bacterium. RNAcentral's name for it is "bacterial SSU rRNA". It matches the Rfam family "Bacterial small subunit ribosomal RNA", at positions 341 to 792 of the family's 1533-position model. Lineage: Bacteria; Bacillati; Bacillota; Clostridia; Lachnospirales; Lachnospiraceae. The record is from RNAcentral.
ACGGAAGGCAGCAGUGGGGAAUAUUGCACAAUGGGCGAAAGCCUGAUGCAGCGACGUCGCGUGAGCGAAGAAGUAUUUCGGUAUGUAAAGCUCUUUAAGCAGGAAAGAAAAUGACGGUACCUGCAGAAUAAGCCCCGGCUAACUACGUGCCAGCAGCCGCGGUAAUACGUAGGGGGCAAGCGUUAUCCGGAUUUACUGGGUGUAAAGGGAGCGUAGACGGCAAUGCAAGUCUGAAGUGAAAGCCCGUGGCUUAACUGCGGGACUGCUUUGGAAACUGCAUGGCUAGAGUGUCGGAGAGGUGAGUGGAAUUCCCAGUGUAGCGGUGAAAUGCGUAGAUAUUGGGAGGAACACCGGAGGCGAAGGCGGCUCACUGGACGAUUACUGACGUUGAGGCUCGAAAGCGUGGGGAGCAAACAGGAUUAGAUACCCUGGUA